Molecule: ribosomal RNA, 497 nt
Filed under: uncultured bacterium
Lineage: Bacteria
Description: partial 16S ribosomal RNA
Rfam family: Bacterial small subunit ribosomal RNA
Source: RNAcentral
GAUGAACGCUGGCGGCGUGCCUAAUACAUGCAAGUCGAGCGAACAGACGAGGAGCUUGCUCCUUUGACGUUAGCGGCGGACGGGUGAGUAACACGUGGGUAACCUACCUAUAAGACUGGGAUAACUUCGGGAAACCGGAGCUAAUACCGGAUAAUAUUUCGAACCGCAUGGUUCGAUAGUGAAAGAUGGCUUUGCUAUCACUUAUAGAUGGACCUGCGCCGCAUUAGCUAGUUGGUAAGGUAACGGCUUACCAAGGCAACGAUACGUAGCCGACCUGAGAGGGUGAUCGGCCACACUGGAACUGAGACACGGUCCAGACUCCUACGGGAGGCAGCAGUAGGGAAUCUUCCGCAAUGGGCGAAAGCCUGACGGAGCAACGCCGCGUGAGUGAUGAAGGUCUUCGGAUCGUAAAACUCUGUUAUUAGGGAAGAACAAAUGUGUAAGUAACUGUGCACGUCUUGACGGUACCUAAUCAGAAAGCCACGGCUAACUACGUG